AUUGCAGAAGUGGGAGAGAGAGUCAUUGGGGAGAGAGAAAGAGGGAAAAGGAGAGGAAAUGUGAGGGAGCACCACCAGACCACCGCAGGUAUUCGAGCAAUCCAUGGUCUCUUGUGGUCGUGCGGCAUGGGGAAAUCGGAAAUAGCCUGGGUUCCAUCGGAUUGCGACCGGCUCGCGCAUGACCCGACUUUGAAAUUCGGUUUUGAAAAUCAUCAACAAACAUGCCAAAAUUUCGAGCGAGCUGCCAACCCGGUUCUGUUGGUCACAUUACCGAACCAACUCUCUAGAAGCAUUUUUCUUUGCAUUUGUCUUCCAUUUAGCCUAAAAUCUUGGAUCAAAAAAUUGUUCAUACAUCAUAGAACACGCACCAAGGUUUUAAAAAAUGUAAAAUUGACAUUUAAUGCAAGACAACUUGCAUGAAAAUCUUAGGUUCAUCACUGACCCGAGACACCUGCUUUCUUGUCCGGUUCCAAAGCAACUUUGGGGACCUAUUUAGAGCCCUAAAUCGGUCCUUUUUGCGAA
Carica papaya (papaya) is the source of this 522-nucleotide long non-coding RNA. RefSeq lists it as uncharacterized. The record is from RefSeq and is a predicted model, not a curated record. NCBI's taxonomy places the organism in Eukaryota, Viridiplantae, Streptophyta, Magnoliopsida, Brassicales, Caricaceae.